AGAGUUUGAUCCUGGCUCAGGAUGAACGCUAGCGGCAGGCCUAACACAUGCAAGUCGAGGGGCAGCGGGGAAAAGCUUGCUUUUCCGCCGGCGACCGGCGCACGGGUGCGCACCGCGUAUGGAACCUGCCUUGUACAGGGGAAUAGCCCAGGGAAACUUGGAUUAAUGCCCCGUAGUACCGUAUUUCGGCAUCGUUAUACGGUUAAAGCCUUCGGGCGGUACAAGAUGGCCAUGCGUCCCAUUAGCUGGAUGGUAAGGUAACGGCUUACCAUGGCUACGAUGGGUAGGGGCCCUGAGAGGGGGAUCCCCCACACUGGUACUGAGACACGGACCAGACUCCUACGGGAGGCAGCAGUGAGGAAUAUUGGACAAUGGAGGGGACUCUGAUCCAGCCAUGCCGCGUGCAGGAAGAAUGCCCUAUGGGUAGUAAACUGCUUUUAUACGGGAAGAAAAAGAGCUACGUGUAGCUUACUGACGGUACCGUAAGAAUAAGGACCGGCUAACUCCGUGCCAGCAGCCGCGGUAAUAC
Molecule: ribosomal RNA, 529 nt
Filed under: Maribacter sp.
Lineage: Bacteria; Pseudomonadati; Bacteroidota; Flavobacteriia; Flavobacteriales; Flavobacteriaceae
Description: bacterial SSU rRNA
Rfam family: Bacterial small subunit ribosomal RNA
Source: RNAcentral